This is a long non-coding RNA of Magnolia sinica, 1868 nucleotides long. RefSeq lists it as uncharacterized. The record is from RefSeq and is a predicted model, not a curated record. The transcript has 2 exons. NCBI's taxonomy places the organism in Eukaryota, Viridiplantae, Streptophyta, Magnoliopsida, Magnoliales, Magnoliaceae.
GGGAAAACAUUUUCUAAGACUUAAAUUUUGCAAAACAAGCAAGUGCAAAGGGUUUGGCCGAUUUAGUUUACCUCUUGCCUAUGUUGCAUGUUUGUUUUGCUUUGCUUCCUUGAUUUGCACUAACUGAACAAGACCUAAAUGGAAAUGCAUUUUUUUGCUGUUUGUUUGCACCUAUCUAAUAAGCAAAGAUUAGGAGCCUUUGGAAAGGUCUUGCUGGUGGUAGCUUGUGCCCCAACUCUUUCCAAUUUAAUGCAAGAAAGGAACUUGGGUUUUCAACAGGGCAGCAUGCAUGGCAGCCUCUCUCAAAAUUUUUUCCCUAUUUUCUCCUUUUCCUUUCAAUUGUCCUCUCCUACACACUCUGGCAUGUGCACAACACACGUGCACACAUGCACACCCACACAGACACACCAGGGUGGUAAUUUUAAUCACACUUGCAAAUUAAAAUCUUUUCUACUCCUGAUGUAGUUAUAAUGACCAACUAAUGUAAUCUCUCCCUGUCCUCAUCUCUCCAUCAAAUGUCUCUUUUGUUCCUUCUCAACCCUCUUAUCUCUAUCAUGGAGGACCAACAGAAGUUGUAGACAAGUGGUUUAAUAUGUUACUGUUGGUCCAGUGGGCCUGACUUGGCCUGGAAAUCAUGAUGGUCCAUGUUUCAUGCAUAUACUUAUGAUUGGAUCUCCAAAUAUAUAUUACAAUUAAAAUAUAUACAAUGCUUGAGAUGCAAUUAUCAUUCGAAAUAAUCCAUCAACAAUGGCUGGGAUUGUUUGAUAGAUGAGAUUUUUGGUUCACUGCCCAUCCAUUGGCACCAAAUGAAUAAUCUGGAUCAUUGAAAAGGAUGCCCCAGAUGUCCAGCAUUGCUUGAUUUUUGAACCAAUGCAUGUUAAUAGUGGAGUUCAAAUAUUGAACUGCUAAUUUCAGCGGUCACAUUUGUUAUGCACUCACUCAUGGUAUAUUUCCCUGCUAGUUUCCAUAUGAAAGAUAAGUUACAUGUAACCAUCUUUGCUCUAAAUAAUGCCUAUCUGAUAAUCACAUAGGUUGAUAGGCUUAUUUACAAUGUCCUUAGGAGCAGGCUGGUUUGAACAGGUCCUAGAGUGCUCCUUUUAAGGUGAAGAGAAGCAGCAUUGGGAGUGUCUAUCUCAAGUUCUUGAGAUGAUUUCUCCUUGAAUUUAUAUCAAUCCAUGGUCCAGCAAGAAUGGUAACUCAACUCAAGAAUUGUAAAUCUAGUGCCUUGCUCUGAGUACUGCUUAUAUACUUGCUACAAUGUCAUGGCACUUUAAAUUUCAUGUGGAGAGAAAAAACUUGAAAUUCAAGGAAAUAUGCUCAGACAAUGGAGAUAUUAUGUAUGUGAUGCUGUAUACGAGAUCUGAUUCAUAUCAUGUCUUAGGCCUUGUAAGCAGAUUCUGGAUUAACCUUGGAAUGCCUCAUUGCCUUUGCUACUGUGCUGUGCAUUAGUAAGGUAAGAACCCUAAUGAUGUGGUAUUUGAGCCAUGUCAUUGUGAGCAUGCCAAGGAAGGAAAUGCGAGGAGAACUUGGAAGAAACCAUGGGCUAAGUGAACAUGAGUUUGACCUGAUCCAACAAUGGGGAUGACACAGAGACUGCAGAGUUAGUUGUUGGGAGCUCAAAUGAGCACUGUGAUGAAUGGAUUCAACCACCUUUUGCUUAAAUUAAUUUUCUGCACUUUGAUAGACAUUCCAUUGGAGUUCAUUUAUAAAUCCAAACAUUUUUUUUUCAUGAUCAUUGUAGGAUCAAGAAUGAGAAGGCUCUCCUGGCCAAAUUCCACAUGGAAGGAGUAGCAUCAAGAUAGUUUCAAUGGUAUAGUUGUAUCAAUUUAGACCUCAUAGGGAGAAACAUGACCGUAACCUUAUUAGUU